RNAcentral lists this ribosomal RNA (436 nucleotides) under Bacillus pumilus. Its description in RNAcentral is "partial 16S ribosomal RNA". It matches the Rfam family "Bacterial small subunit ribosomal RNA", at positions 558 to 991 of the family's 1533-position model. Lineage: Bacteria; Bacillati; Bacillota; Bacilli; Caryophanales; Bacillaceae. The record is from RNAcentral.
GCGUAAAGGGCUCGCAGGCGGUUUCUUAAGUCUGAUGUGAAAGCCCCCGGCCUCUUCAGGGGAGGGUCAUUGGAAACUGGGAAACUUGAGUGCCCCUUUAAAGAGUGGAAUUCCACGUGUAGCGGUGAAAUGCGUAGAGAUGUGGAGGAACACCAGUGGCGAAGGCGACUCUCUGGUCUGUAACUGACGCUGAGGAGCGAAAGCGUGGGGAGCGAACAGGAUUAGAUACCCUGGUAGUCCACGCCGUAAACGAUGAGUGCUAAGUGUUAGGGGGUUUCCGCCCCUUAGUGCUGCAGCUAACGCAUUAAGCACUCCGCCUGGGGAGUUCGUUCGCAAGACUGAAACUCAAAGGAAUUGACGGGGGCCCGCACAAGCGGUGGAGCAUGUGGUUUAAUUCAAAAUAUUUUUUUUUUCCUUACCUUGUCUUGACAUCCUC